Non-coding RNA from Biomphalaria pfeifferi, 448 nucleotides. Lineage: Eukaryota; Metazoa; Mollusca; Gastropoda; Planorbidae. The record is from the annotation of a GenBank genome assembly.
UGCAUGACUAAAUGCAUGACGCAUUGAACGUAAUUUUCUUUUUUGAAUUAACAUCUGUAUAAUAUAAAAUAAGAGAAUGUUAUUUAUUUGUGAAAUUGUUCAAACUACAAUAUUGAAAGCCUUGCAAGUGAGCAAUGAUGGAAAUUUUUUAAUGUGUGACUGAAGAUAUCUAAAGCCAAAUAAUAUGAAUGGGUAUCAGUACUUGAACUUUUAAAUAUUUCUUCCUUUUUUUUUUUUGCUAGCCCUGACAAAUUGUGGGACAUAGAAAUACAUGAGCACUAUUUUAUUGCUUAAACUAUAGUUUACAUUCAAUGGAAAAAAUUCCCUGAACAAAUCAAAUGAAUCUUCAUGUAAAUGUUUUUAACAUUGUCUCUAUUGCUUUCAUGUUUUUUGUUUUUUUUUUCUUUUGUUGGAUUGUCAUGAAAUGUAAUAAAACAUUGUUCAAUCG